GGGGAUUUAGCUCAGUGGUAGAGCACUUGCCUAGCAAGCGCAAGGCCCUAGGUUCAGUCCCCA
Molecule: transfer RNA, 63 nt
Filed under: Rattus norvegicus (Norway rat)
Lineage: Eukaryota; Metazoa; Chordata; Mammalia; Rodentia; Muridae
Rfam family: tRNA
About the family: Transfer RNA (tRNA) molecules are approximately 80 nucleotides in length. Their secondary structure includes four short double-helical elements and three loops (D, anti-codon, and T loops).
Source: Rfam by way of RNAcentral